CAUCGCCUUCUGACAAGCUAUAGAAGGUCCAGCCUGCCCAGUGAUAAAAUUCAACGGCCGCGGUACCCUAACCGUGCGAAGGUAGCAUAAUCACUUGUUCUUUAAAUGAGGACUAGUAUCAACGGCAUCACGAGGACUACACUGUCUCCUCUCUUCAAUCAGUGAAACUGAUCUCCCCGUGAAGAAGCGGGGAUUCACUUAUAAGACGAGAAGACCCCAUGGAGCUUUAAACCCAAUGUAUAACCCAACAUACAAAUCAGUAAAGCCCUGAGGAUCUAUACACUGGUUUUAGGUUGGGGAGACCACGGAGUAAAACUAAACCUCCACAACAAACUGGCUAACGCCCUGAUCUAUGAACUACAACUCUAAGAGCCAACAAAUUGUUGCCAACGACCCAAUCACUUGAUUAAUGAACCAAGUUACCCUGGGGAUAACAGCGCAAUCUACUUCAAGAGCCCCUAUCGACAAGUAGGUUUACGACCUCGAUGUUGGAUCAGGGUAUCCAAGU
This 508-nucleotide ribosomal RNA is filed under the name Amolops indoburmanensis (Indoburman torrent frog). Its description in RNAcentral is "partial large subunit ribosomal RNA". It matches the Rfam family "Bacterial large subunit ribosomal RNA", at positions 1814 to 2551 of the family's 2925-position model. Lineage: Eukaryota; Metazoa; Chordata; Amphibia; Anura; Ranidae. The record is from RNAcentral.